GUUUUAGUAGUUUAAAAUAAAACAAUGAUUUUGUAAGUCAUAAAUGAAUUAUUUCCUAAAACC
RNAcentral lists this transfer RNA (63 nucleotides) under Pallenopsis patagonica. RNAcentral's name for it is "tRNA-Thr". It matches the Rfam family "tRNA". From Rfam's summary of the family: Transfer RNA (tRNA) molecules are approximately 80 nucleotides in length. The record is from RNAcentral. Lineage: Eukaryota; Metazoa; Arthropoda; Pycnogonida; Pantopoda; Pallenopsidae.